UACGUAGGGUGCGAGCGUUAAUCGGAAUUACUGGGCGUAAAGUGUGCGCAGGCGGCCGCGCAAGUCGAGUGUGAAAGCCCCGGGCUUAACUUGGGAAUUGCGCUCGAAACUACGUGGCUGGAGUGUGGCAGAGGAAGGUGGAAUUCCACGUGUAGCGGUGAAAUGCGUAGAUAUCUGGAGGAACACCGGUGGCGAAGGCGGCAUCCUGGACCGGUAUUGACGCUGAGGCGCGAAAGCCAGGGGAGCAAACGGG
RNAcentral lists this ribosomal RNA (253 nucleotides) under uncultured bacterium. Its description in RNAcentral is "partial 16S ribosomal RNA". It matches the Rfam family "Bacterial small subunit ribosomal RNA", at positions 524 to 776 of the family's 1533-position model. The record is from RNAcentral.